Molecule: ribosomal RNA, 149 nt
Filed under: Clavicipitaceae sp. FI 360
Lineage: Eukaryota; Fungi; Ascomycota; Sordariomycetes; Hypocreales; Clavicipitaceae
Description: Paecilomyces sp. FI 360 partial 28S ribosomal RNA
Source: RNAcentral
GGCCCGCAAGGGACGGCCGGCCCCUAAAUCUAGUGGCGGACCCGUCGUGGCCUCCUCUGCGAAGUAGUAAUAUUCCGCAUCGGAGAAGCGACGAGCCCCUGCCGUUAAACCCCCAACUUUCUAAGGUUGACCUCAGAUCAGGUAGGAAU